RNAcentral lists this ribosomal RNA (253 nucleotides) under uncultured bacterium. RNAcentral describes it as "partial 16S ribosomal RNA". It matches the Rfam family "Bacterial small subunit ribosomal RNA", at positions 524 to 776 of the family's 1533-position model. The record is from RNAcentral.
UACGGAGGGUGCGAGCGUUGUCCGGAAUCACUGGGCGUAAAGGGCGCGUAGGCGGCCUGAUAAGUAGGGGGUGAAAUCUUGCGGCUCAACCGCAAGGCUGCCUUCUAAACUGUCAGGCUGGAGCACGGUAGAGGCAGAUGGAAUUCCCGGUGUAGCGGUGGAAUGCGUAGAGAUCGGGAAGAACACCAGUGGCGAAGGCGGUCUGCUGGGCCGUUGCUGACGCUGAGGCGCGACAGCGUGGGGAGCAAACAGG